GGCCCGUUGGUGAAGCGGUUAACACACUAGGUUUUCAUCCUAGCAUACACGGGUUCGAUUCCCGUACGGGUCACCA
Molecule: transfer RNA, 76 nt
Filed under: Mycoplasmataceae bacterium
Lineage: Bacteria; Bacillati; Mycoplasmatota; Mollicutes; Mycoplasmatales; Mycoplasmataceae
Also listed under: 1 other name
Description: tRNA-Glu
Rfam family: tRNA
About the family: Transfer RNA (tRNA) molecules are approximately 80 nucleotides in length. Their secondary structure includes four short double-helical elements and three loops (D, anti-codon, and T loops).
Source: RNAcentral